RNAcentral lists this ribosomal RNA (482 nucleotides) under uncultured bacterium. RNAcentral's name for it is "partial 16S ribosomal RNA". It matches the Rfam family "Bacterial small subunit ribosomal RNA", at positions 30 to 507 of the family's 1533-position model. The record is from RNAcentral.
AUUGAACGCUGGCGGCAUGAUUUACACAUGCAAGUCGAACGGUAACAGGCCGCAAGGUGCUGACGAGUGGCGAACGGGUGAGUAAUGCAUCGGAACGUGCCCAGUCGUGGGGGAUAACUACUCGAAAGAGUAGCUAAUACCGCAUACGAUCUAUGGAUGAAAGCGGGGGUCCGUAAGGCCUCGCGCGAUUGGAGCGGCCGAUGUCAGAUUAGGUAGUUGGUGGGGUAAAGGCUCACCAAGCCAACGAUCUGUAGCUGGUCUGAGAGGACGACCAGCCACACUGGGACUGAGACACGGCCCAGACUCCUACGGGAGGCAGCAGUGGGGAAUUUUGGACAAUGGGCGCAAGCCUGAUCCAGCAAUGCCGCGUGCAGGAAGAAGGCCUUCGGGUUGUAAACUGCUUUUGUACGGAACGAAACGGCUCUGGUUAAUACCCGGGGCUAAUGACGGUACCGUAAGAAUAAGCACCGGCUAACUACGUG